RNAcentral lists this ribosomal RNA (645 nucleotides) under Cytophagales bacterium. Its description in RNAcentral is "partial 23S ribosomal RNA". It matches the Rfam family "Bacterial large subunit ribosomal RNA", at positions 1 to 662 of the family's 2925-position model. Lineage: Bacteria; Pseudomonadati; Bacteroidota; Cytophagia; Cytophagales. The record is from RNAcentral.
AAAUUAUAAGUUAAGGGUGUAUGAUGGAUGCCUUGGUUCUUGGAAGCGAAGAAGGACGUAAAAAACUGCGAUAAGCUACGGGGAUCGGUUAGUAGAAUAGAUCCGUAGAUUUCCGAAUGGGGGAACCCGAUAAAUUGAAGAUUUAUCAUCUUUGAAAAAAGAAGCGAACCUAGGGAACUGAAACAUCUAAGUACCUAGAGGAAAAGAAAGUAAUUUAACGAUUCUGUUAGUAGUGGCGAGCGAACGCGGAAGAGCCCAAACCAAUAUAGUUUCGGCUUUAUUGGGGUUAUAGGGGCGGAGACAUGUGAUUGUUUGUGUAUGUGAAUUAUUUGGAAAAAUAAAUCAUAGGAGGUGAAAAUCCUGUAGCAUAUGUGAAUAUUAGCUAUUCGCUACCUGAGUAGAUCGGUUUUGGUGAAGGACUGAUUGAAUUUGCCAGCACCAUCUGGUAAGGCUAAAUAUUACCAAGAAACCGAUAGUGAACAAGUACCGUGAGGGAAAGGUGAAAAAUAUCCUGAAUAAGGAGGUGAAAUAGAUCUGAAAUCAUACACCUACAAGCGGUCGGAGCUAGCAAUAGUGACGGCGUGCCUUUUGGAUAAUGAUCCUACGAGUUAAUUUUAUUAGCAAGGUUAAGCAUUUUGAGAUGUG